Molecule: long non-coding RNA, 12127 nt
Organism: Gasterosteus aculeatus aculeatus (three-spined stickleback)
Lineage: Eukaryota; Metazoa; Chordata; Actinopteri; Perciformes; Gasterosteidae
Source: Ensembl
AAACUCUUGAUCAUCAAAAAACAAAGUAGAGGUCAGUUCAACCACAUUACUCUGUUACUCUAUAUUGUAUGUGUAACAAUUUAUUUGCUUGGAAUUACUGGUCAAGUUGAGGAAAACACUCUUUGUACAUCAGUAAUUAUCACAUUUCUGGAUGCAGGGAGGCUGGUGGGUGUUGGCAUGUUGGGGAGUGUCACCAGUUCUCAUCUCCACAGAUCCUCUAUCUGGAGCCAACGCCACAACGCCAUUACGCCCACGAGGCUGCAACUCGCCGCGCCGCUGACAGCGAUGUUGCAACAAGCGUUUAGACGGCGAGGAAAUCAUUCACCAUUAACCACGCGGCCGCGGAGGAGACAGUCGCGAUAAGGCCUCGCCGGCGCCCCCCCCCCACCUCCCUCCAGCGUCUGUCUCACGCGGACUCUCUGGCUUCCUCACCUCUGCUUUGCUUCCGUGCCUCGGAAUGCCAAUUAGGAAAUGUCCUUCACGCAUUCCUGUUGAGCGCCUCCGCGGGGAACUGGCAGAGAGCGAGGGACGCGAGGAGGAAAGCGCCGGUAAGACUCUUACAAAGAGCAUAUUGCUGGAUGUUUAGUAUAAUACCUUCUUUCAAGAGCUUUUCUCUGGAGAAUUGUUCCAAGAGCCCAAGCUAAUCCUUCCCUCGCCACGUGUGGGUCGGAAUCAGCAUCAGUCCAUCAGUGGUAAGAUGAGAUAAUCUCCCCUCAUGUCUCUCUUCUCGAUUCCGCUCCAUCAGUGUCUUUACUGCACAAUGGAAACACACCCUUCAGAUCCUUGCUCUGCAGCAGGCGGCCGGCGGCUAAACGUUAGCAUUUUCUCCCGAUUCCGUUCAAUGGCGCCCGCCGGCAGAGAGGCGGGAGGAGGAAGGGGGGUUUUCCCGCGUCGACUCUGCGCCGGGGAGGGGAGGGGGGCUGGGAUUGGCCCAUUGUUUGCACGUCCAUCUGCGCUGCUGGCCCAAAGCAAUGCUUUUAUCGCGUUGGAUCAUCAAAGUUUCCAGGACAUUUUGAGGCAAAUUACUUUUUGGACCAGAAUGCAACAAUAACUCCUGAAUUGUUGGACCUCAUUCGGGGUCCCCUGAGGAUGAAAUUUUAAUACGUUUGGCCAUUUUCCUCUUACGACUCCUUCUUUGGUGAAAUGUCUCUAACAACUAUUGGAUGGAUCACGAUGCAGUUUGUUAAACUAUUGCUUGUGCAGAUAUUUUGACCCAGAUAGUCGUGGUUUCCAGGAAAUAAAUCCAACUGGAUGCAGCGAAUCCCUGACUGCUCUCUUGAGGACUAUUCAUUGGUUCAAAAGUUUUCAUUCGCUCGCUCCAAUCAGCCUCGGCUGUGCUUUGUGUUUUUUUUUUGCUAAAUAACAUACUUACUAACAUAGUAAACAUUGUGCCAGCUAACAUUCAGCGUUCAUUGCCAUUGACGGCCUUCCCGCAUGCAGACGUUAGCAUUUAGCGCUGUUAUUUGUGAUCAAUAAAAAAAUAGUGCAAUAAAGAAACACAUGUACACUGUAAUAUUAUUAAUAGACUUUCAUGAUGAAUCCAUUUGGUAUUUUUUUCAUUCACUUCACAUUUUUUAUUUAUUAAUCAUUUUUGAUGGAAUAACUUGCAGAGGUGGGUCGAUGUUUUGCCGUCACAUGAGUUGAUCGUGUUUCCUGUGAAAUUAAUCAGCCCGGUCGCACAGGAAUGAAUGUGGGGCUGAGAAAAAGAAGGAGAACUAAACUAAUGAAAAAAGGAUUCGCACAUCAUUGCCUCUGGGACGCUGCGAGGGGUUUUUCCGCUCAGCUAAACUGAGACUGCGGUCGCGGUAGAAUCGCCGUGGCGCGUUAGCAUUUAGCAUUUAGCUCAGAGUGGCGCCGCACUGUAUCUCCUUCACAUCGCUUCGCCGUUUCCCUGAUCGUACGCGUUGGAACAGACAGCGCACGCCGCCAUUCGAUCCCGUAUGUCCCUCCGCAGAUUAGGACAGGAUUACCCCGGUAAAUACAUGUGAUGCUGCUUCGCCACAGUUAAUUUCCCUGUGGAUGAGCGAAGAGAGUUGAGUUACACAGCGAGCUCCCCGAACUGCCUCAACUCUUCCCUCCGUCCCCUGGACGUGUUUGGUAUGCAAACGGCGAGACCGUCCCAGCGGCCUGACGCGCGGCCCCCCGGUGAUCGAGGUUUGCGAAGGCGUCUUUCCAUUGAGCGGCGAGCUCAUCGCACCGUCGCGGUUCCAAUCAUCCUCGCCAUCGCUCCUGCAACAAUGCGACUGUGGCGAGAGAGACGACUCGGAUGGACUCGAAGCGCAGCUGAUUAGCGCGGCGUGAAGCUAACCCCCGUUGAGGCGGUGGGUUGUGGGGAGGAGGCCACAGGAGAAGCUGGAAUCCCGUGUAAUUAUCGCUCCCUGUGGAAAUUAAGCCUGACCUUUUUCUAAGUUAAGACCCGCUAAUAGAAUCCGGAGGAGGAAUAACUCACUCACAUAUGCGCUGGCAAAACGCACCGUCAGCAACGCUUCGGGCGGGACGUGAGGUUGCAAAAGGUCCGGGCUGAGUUUUCCAUCCUACUUGAUGAUCCGAGUUUGCAGGCGAGAAAGUGAAAAACGGCACGUGGGCACGCGGGCAGGGGCCGAACGCGGCGACGCACAACUUCUGGUGCUGCGGGCUUUUAACAAGCGGCGGCCGCUUUGGCGUCGGCCGAAUCGCCGCCCAUGCAUUUCGUGGGAAGCAUCUCAGCGAGACACUUCCUGGAUAAUUAUUUGACAGACUGCAGCGGCCGUGUUAGACCUCACAUUUUUUAAUUGGCCCGGCAGAAAGUGCGUUCGAAGGGAGGCUUCCGCUCCAGAGGUCCACUCUGUGUCAAGAUGAAUUCUUAAUUUGGAGUAAAAUGUGUUCCUAUAACCUCCGUCCACCCGGCACGCACGUGUCCCGGUUUCUGCAAAAUCUGCAAAGCAUGCAAGCAAAAAAAAAAGCAGAUCCACACGCAUAUAAAACUACCAGUAUUUCUGCCCCCAGCGCCCACGAUUCUCUGAUGAUUACCCUGAGUGUGGUUUAAUGGAAACCCCCAAUAACCCAGUAUGGAGAACACGCUGCCACCGCGCACACACACACACACACACACACACACACACACACACACACACGGAGGGAAGCUGGAGAGCAGUGCUGUCAGACGCAGACAGAAAGAGGACGGAGAGAUUAAAUUCAGCCGAGAGUUUUUUGUCUGUGAGAUUGGUUCCCAACGUCCCCGGCUCCCUUCGCGCUCCCUAUUAGUGGAGACGAGGAGACGAAGGGCGGGGAAAAAAAUAGGCAGCUUCAACAGAGACACCACUCGGAGGAUACUUAACAAUGUUAUUAAUCCAUUAAUCCUUGUUUGACAUUUGCCAAUGUAUCACCCCUGAUUGCUCUUUCUUUAAAAGCUGCAGGCUACAGUAGUGUGUGUGUGUUCUCUUCUUUUUUACCUUAUUAGUUCCUACUGUCCUCGCAGCAAUGGGAAGGUGAUGGAAACCCUGCAGCAUGGCGGGGGCCUGGCAGCGGGCAGGGGGCGCGGGGGUGAACGCGGCGAAUGGUUCCUGCUGCUCAGCGCCGAAGCUGAACGGGGAGAUCAGAGAGCCGGUCGAGUCGAUUUGGAGAAAGCUUUGGUAAUAUCUAAAAGGCGUUGCAUGCAUGGAUUAAGUGGUGUGUGCCGAUGGAUCCUGGCGUUGUUUACGUGUAUUUACUGUCUCAUAUGCAGCAUGUUCUCCUCCUGCUGCUGUUUUCUUCUACUACUUUUGUUCCGCACACAACAAAGUGAUGUGUGGAUGCAAAACGUUGCAACGCUCAUCACGCACACAUUCUCUUUUUCUCCCCCUUUUCUUUGCAAUCAUUUAAAAGAAAUGAAACAACAAGCGUCUCCGAGAGGCUUUGGUGCGACAUGUCGCAGUGUGUGUAUGAGGCUCACGUUGUUAAAAGAUAAUCAGGGCUGUCUGUGUGUGUGUGUGUGUGUGUGUGUGUGUGUGUGUGUGAGGGGGGCACAGUCAGGGGAAGGGGCGCUUUAGAAAAUAGAAAAUUGAAAGCUCCCUUGUAAUCUUGAACCCUCUCACCUCUCCAUCCAUGUCCUGAUAUCAGUACACACACACACACACACACGCACACACACACACACACCUUUCUGCGACUGAAGAAAGCACACAACUCCCUUCUCUCUCGCCCGCCGCUCCCUGAAGCCCCGAACACACGCCGCCGAAAACAAAAAGCUUAGUGAUGGCGUUUGGUUUCGUUAUCGGCUUCACCUCUGUCGAGGAAUGACGGGUCAAACACUCACACACACACACACACACACACAGACACACACACACUUGAUGUGUGGCGUGUGUGUAGCGCUGACAGCUGAUCGCCCCAAAACGCACCUGUUUAACUGACUGACACAAGAUGGCCGCCGGGGGGGUAGGGGGCGGAUGCGAUGACGCAAUACGCACAAUAAUACAGCUUGAUAUGAAAACCAACUAAUCAUAUUCUUCAUUGCAAAUGAGGUUCCGGAAUGUUUACAGCUCCCGACCACGUCACGUCUUUCAGGGAGGGGGUGCAGGGGGGGGGGGCGCCCGGACCGGGUUCUUCGUCUUGGACUUCUUUAAUUGCAGCUUAUCAGCGGCAGCCGCUUUGAUCCGCUCUGAUCUCCACCAUUAAAAACAGCCCCGCGUUUUGAGGAGAGCCGGUUUGGUGUAAACGAUGUUUUAGAAAGAUAAUAAUUGUCUCACAUUUCAUGAAUUCUUCAAAGGAAAUCCAGGACUUCUAACAGGGGGAAGUUCAUCAACCACCUCGAUAGAUAAUUAGGGAACUUUCUGCAAUAGUUUUGACUUCUCUCGCUGUCCUCUCCUGCUUUUGAGAGGCACGUUUGGAUCGAGCUCACUGCAGCGAUAUCGGACGGUUGUCGAUCUCAAAGCACAAUCACGUCCAAUUAGUGCCGAUUAGCACGCGCAGUCACGUAUUUGUCCCGACUGUCCGUCUCCGAUUGGAUGGCGGCGCGUGAUGCUCCGUGUGGCGUUGGAGAGAGAGUGGCCACAAAGCGCUGCAGGCGUUUGCUCAUUAGUGAAAGAACUCAGUUUUUGUGGUGAGCUGCUCCUCUUUAAGUCACCUUCACUCUUCCCAGAUGUGUCACUUUUCAUUCUUCGUGAUCAACUGGAUUUCUCAUCCGUGAUGUUUGUUUUGAGUUGUGUUCUUAUUCGGUUGUAAUCAACACAAAGGGGUAAUCAUUAUCAUAACAUGGCUGCAGAUACAACAGGUUCAGAUUAAAAUACAUCGAUCCGUCCAAACGACCAGAGAAGAAUCAAAUUCCAAUGAGAUUAUGAAAAAAGUGCAAAUCAAAACUAAAUAAGAGUGCACGUCUCCAGAUACCCGGAGGCCAAAAGAGGCCCAAAACACUUUCCUCACACAAAACUUCAAUUUCAGUUCCCCUUUAAUUCAAAGUGCAUAAAUUCAUCUCGAGGGUCCACGGCGGCACCUGCUGACACGCUGUGCCCUUGGUGGCGGACGAUGAUGAAUUGAUCAUCGACCUUGUCCUCUCUGCAAGGGGUGCUGUACUACACACACACACACACACACACACACACACACACACACACACACACACACACACACACACGUAUGUGUGCACAUCUUUUCUCAUUGGCAAAAACCAAAAUAGCAUCAAAGAUAGAUUGUCUAUUUUUACCUCAACGCCGGCUGAUCUUCUCGAGCCGUUACCCACAAUGCACCGAAAUCUGUCAUCAGCGGUGAUCAUUAGGAGCGGCUUUCUGAAAGAGAGCCGGGUGUUAGCGGAUGUAAACGCACCACACACGGAGGGAUCCAGCCAAACAACGGCUCAGUGUGUUGACAGGGCUUUUGUUGGUUUGUUUGUGCCGGUAAGGCGGUGGAAACAGAGCUUCGGCGUGGGCGCCAGUCCACGUCGUCGGCGCUGUAACUGUAACUUGUAGCCCUUUUGUUUUGUGACAGCUCUCUGAUUAUAUUGACAGCUCUGAGGCGUCAUUAAAGCCCCGUCUUUGUGUGGUGAAUAAACACCUGGGAGAGAUGAGACGGGAGAGUCGGGGGGGGGGGGGAGGGGAGCAGAUGAAGUUGACAGACAUGCAGGAAAAAACAUGUCGGCAGGUUUUGCAUCCAGUUUGAAACACAAACAUCAUUGAAAUGCGUGUUAGUAAGACUCGACGUGUGCGAUAUGUGGUUCAAUCCGAUCUGGUCCCAGUGAAUACAUGAGGAAUCAAGUCAAUCACGUCCCACUAACACCAUGUUUCUCACUGAUAAUGAACCUUUCAUCGCAGCCAAUGUGCUGAGGGAAUCUGGUAAUCUUCCCUCUUGAGUUGAGAAGGAAAAAGAGCCAUGUUAAUCUCCUUAUUGUGUGUGUGUGCGUUAGUAUAAAGGAAAGUCAGCAUACCCAAGGCCUCGUGGUGCUGAAUCUUUACAUCACCGUGAGCAUGUGAAGUUUGGCUUAAAGCACAGCGGAGCCUCGAUGGAGCCUCAAUGGAGCCUCGGUGAAGCCUCGAUGGAGCCUCAAUGGAGCCUCGGUGAAGCCUCGAUGAAGCCUCGGUGGAGCCUCAAUGGAGCCUCGGUGAAGCCUCGAUGAAGCCUCGGUGGAGCCUCGGUGGAGCCUCAAUGGAGCCUCAAUAGAGCCUCGGUGAAGCCUCAAUGGAGCCUCGGUGAAGCCACGAUGGAGCCUCGGUAAAGCCUCGAUGAAGUCUCGAUGGAGCCUCGGUGAAGCCUCGAUGGAGCCUCGGUGGACCCUUGGUGGAGCCUCAAUGGAGCCUCGAUGGACCUCAAUGGAGCCUCGUGAAGCCUCAAUGAAGCCUCGGUGGAGCCUCAAUGGAGACUCAAUGGAGCCUCGUGAAGCCUCAAUGAAGUCUCGGUGGAGCCUCAAUGGAGUCUCGGUGGAGCCUCAAUGGAGUCUCAAUGGAGCCUCGUGAAGCCUCAAUGAAGUCUCGGUGGAGCCUCAAUGGAGUCUCAAUGGAGCCUCGGUGGAGCCUCGAUGGAGCCUCGAUGGAGUCUCGGUGGAGCCUCGGUGAAGCCUCGAUGGAGUCUCGAUGGAGCCUCGUGAAGCCUCAAUGGAGCCUCGUGAAGCCUCAAUGAAGCCUCGGUGGAGCCUCAAUGGAGACUCAAUGGAGCCUCGAUGGAGCCUCGAUGGAGUCUCGGUGGACCCUCGGUGGAGCCUCAAUGGAGCCUCGGUGAAGCCUCGAUGGAGCCUCGUGAAGCCUCAAUGGAGCCUCGUGAAGCCUCAAUGAAGCCUCGGUGGAGCCUCAAUGGAGCCUCGAUGGAGCCUUGAUGGAGCCUCGGUGGAGCCUCGAUAGGGCUUGAUGAAGCCUUUGUGCCGCUAGCAUGGCUGCAGACUCCUAGUCCUGUUUCACUCAGCUGGGUUAAAUAAGAAUCCCUGAGUCUGGAAUCCCUAAUUAUGCACAAUUGAGCUCAUAGGAAAAUGUCCAUCCAAUUAUCAAUAUAAAAUGUAUAUUUUGCUGUUGCAUAAUUACAUUCCUGCAGGUUUAAGGUCAGCGUGUAUAAAAUAAAGACUAGCAGCCGUAGUGUGACCUGCACAGAAAUGAGUUGGUAACUAAGAAUGAGCAAAGAGUUUACGACUAUAAACAACUUGCCCUAGGGAUGCAUUCGAGCUGUAAUAAAGUGAUUUUAUUUUGACAAACAGUAGAGCCGAGAUUAUAUUUAUAGCAGCAAAUGAUGGGUUGAGACAAUGCAGCCCACAUUAGAUAUGCAUAGAUUGAGAUAUUAAUACUGUUUUAACCGUAGUUCAGCGCACACAGUGUGCAAGCUGGAAAAAAACAGCUUCCAUGUUGUUCAUUCCUUUUGUCAUGUUUCAUCACAUUAGAAGUCUUUUACUGGAAACUUCUGUUGUAGUGAGCAUUUCCCCAAAAUAAUGCAUUCUAACAGAAGCAGACAGUUAUAAUGGAAACACAUUAUUCAGUUCUUUGUGUAGUUAUUUCGUUGCAUAGAUUAAUAAUAUGGGGGAUCGGAUUUUCCUGAAACAUUGAACAAAAUAAAGGAUGUCGUGAUCAGCAGGGGCGACUCCUCUGGUUACAAAAACAAGUCAGAUGGUGUAGAAGUCUAUGAAUAAAUUACCCCACUUCUCAAUUGAUUUACAACCUCAUUAAACUUUGGAAUCAUGAAUUCAUGGUCUCAACCGCUAUCGUCUUCAAUGCAGCAUUGUGUUGAUUUAGUAAAUUAUUGUCCUUUCAGAGUCAAACAGACCGGGGAAGAGGUCGGCUUUGGGGGCGGGCUCACCGUGAUUGACGUUGCCGCGGCAACUCAACAUCACUCCACCGCAUUCCAAACAAAGGUCACCUCCGUUUACUGGUGGCGAGAAAAAACACCACGAGGACGGCCGUGGUCCAAAAGGGCGAGACGUCCGAAGUGUUCAAAUUUGUGGUUUCAGAGCAGCAGUCAAGCCACCAAUGGGUGAGGUCACCAUGACCACACCCACUUCUCGCAGUCUAUUAAAAGAAACCUGGGCUUGGUCCUUGUCGGCUCCCUGAGAAGGUGGAGGGGUUCUUCCCUGUAGAACAUCGCAAUGAGACAGAACGAGGUCCGAGCUUCAGGUAGAACCAUCUUAACAGGUUGGAAAGGCCGGCUGUUAUCUCACUCUGCUACGUCUUUACAUUACACAUUUUAUGCUCUGAUUAAUUUGGAAUUAAAUGUUCACUACAUUACAUUACAUGUCAUUUAGCGGACGCUUUUAUCCAAAGCGACGUACAAUAAGUGCAUUCAACCAUAAGGUACAAACUCAAGAACAAGAGAACAAGAAACAACAAAGUGCAAUUUCCUCAAAAUAAGCCAAUUUACAAUUUGCUAUAGAUGAGUGACGUUACAAGUACAAUUUAAGUGCUACAAUUUGUUAGUCUUUAGUCGAGGUAGAGUCUGAAGAGGUGUGUCUUUAGUUUGCGGCGGAAGAUGUGAAGGCUCUCUGCGGUCCUGGUGUCUUCAGAGAGCUCGUUCCACCAUUUCGGCGCAAGGACAGCAAAGAGUCGAGAUCUAGUCGAGUGUUUUGCUCUCAGUGAGGGAGGGACGAGUAGUUUUGCAGAUGCAGAGCGGAGAGUGCGGGUCGGGAUGUCGGGUUUGACCAUGUCCUGGAUGUAAGCUGGACCCGAUCCAUUCACAGCAUGGUACGUGAGCACCAAUGUUUAGAACUGGAUGCGGGCGGCCACCAGUAGCCAGUGAAGGGAGCGGAGGAGUGGAGUAGUGUGGGAGAAUUUCGGAAGGUUGAAGACCAGUCGAGCUGCUGCAUUCUGGAUGAGCUGCAGAGGUCGAAUGGCGGUGGCACUAAAGGUUCAUGAUGCCCCCAUUUCGAAAUGUCUAGCAGUCGCUCUGCACGCCAACCUCCGUCAUGGAAACAAUCGCACUAUUAAUACAUUGGAUUUCUGCAAAUGCCGAUGAGCGCGCCGGAGAAGAUAAUGACCACGAUGGAUGGCACUUCUGUAAAUAACGAGGACGACGACGGCGGUCGGCCCUGACAGCGUGGGCGACAAUGACGAUGAUGAGGGGGAAGUGGGCGAAAAUCGGUAGAACAACUCUGACAACGGCUGCAGGUGAUAUCUUGAGUUUUCAGCCUGGCGGCGGCACUUCGGCAGCUCUCUCCCGCUCAGCGCCGCGCGCUCGUCUCCCGAUCUGCAGACGCGGGGGGAUCGUCCCAUCACUUCUGCUGAGUGGGCAGCCAUUCCCUCGUAUCAAUCGGACGCGUGUCAACCCGGAAAGUUUUUGCUGCCAAAGCAGCACCUUUCAGAACAUAUGAGCCGUCCCGAGUGAACCAAUCGCCCCCUCUGUCUCCCCCUUCCCUCCUCGCCCGCCUCCUCCUCUUGCUGCCGCAAAACAGUUUGAGCGAUGAGGGAGAUAAGUGGCGGCGAUGCCUGGAAGUGGGGACUCGGCGCCAGCAGAACAGCGUGUCGGUGUGUUCAGGUGUGCGUCAGACGGAGAGAAGAUGAAAGACCGAAGGGGACGGAUUGUCAGCGGCCCGACGGUGAGGAAAACGAUGGGCGACCCCGCUGUCGUUCGGGUGGACGGAGCGCGACCUCCGGCCGGGCGGGUUGAACGAGCAAAGUCCACUCGCCGACUGCUUUCUCACAGGGCUUCUCGGAGAUGUGUUUCCUCGUUUAGUUCUGCAAAGCAAAACUCAGAAGGAGCCAUGGAGAUGAAAUGGAACAUCGGAGGGAAUCUUCUUUUUCCGCCACUGGGCGACUCGGAGGUCGCGACUUGUUCAUUUGAGCUUCUCUCUGUUUUCUGCUGAGGCUGAACGCUGUGGUCUCUGAGCCAGAUGAAUCAUGAGGAAACCGCACAGCAAGAUCCGUCAUGGAAACGUGGAGGCAGCGUCAUGGUACCCGGUGACUUGCUGUAACGUCAAGCCUCUGUGCGUGCAUGUCAGACGUGAUGGCGUUGUGCUCGGGGCAAGUCAAUAUGACCAACAGAUGCAGUGCAUCUUACACAGAUGCGCUGCCGAAAGGUUGGUUUAAAUAUAACUGCUGUGUGAAAUCAAUGAAGCAGGGAGCCAAUCAGGAGCCCGUUUAAUACAGCGCUGUCAAGACCUUCCAACAAAUCAAGGCGCAAUCGCAUUUUCCCUCCGUUUAAAGAUAUCUUAUGGAAGUAUAUCAAGUAAAUGUCCUCCCGCAAGCAAAAUCAUUCAUUCUUUUUUUCCUCAUUUCUCUUUAGCUUUUGCAGAGCAUCUGUGCGUCCUUCUGGGUCGGUGCGGGCGAGCACAUUGAGAACAGACUGGAUGGAAAAAGGGGUCCUGCGUCGCGCCCUUUAACGUCCCCCCCCCUCCCGGGCCGCACCAAUAUAACCAGGGAGCUGCUAAAGUGCAUUUUUCCCAGCGAGGGAGCAGCUCUUCUGCACGCCGCAAUGGAUUGCUUCCUCAUCCUCCUCUUCUGUCCUCCAUCGAUUUGAGCAGCGACGUGUCCUGGAGGCACGUGAGGCGCUGUGUGCGUCCAUCUGCACGGGAUGCAGAACAACUCUCCAUCAGCAAGGACUCAAACACGCACGCGGUCUCUGCCCCUGUUAUUGUUAUUCCCCCUGAAUCUCAUCUCCUCCUACAAUAAAUGUACAUACAGCUUGCAAUAUCUCUUAGGCGGUAAUUUCUCUGCACCAUAAAAUGAGUCAUUUGUCUCCUCUUUAUUUUUCCGUCUCUCAGCCAGCGAGGGAGGAGGCGCGCCGCCGCUGAGAUUAAAACCUGAUGGAGGGUGUCUGAGCGAUGUGUGGAGGUGAGUGUGCGCCGUGCGCGUGUUGGUGUGGAAGACAAAGGAAGAACAAAAGGGUGGAGGGACGGACGGAGGGAGGAUUUAAACCUGAAUCUUGGGGUGUCUACCCGAUGUAAAGGGAGGUGCUGGGGAGGAGGAGCGUUAGUGCUGACGGGGCAGCCUCACUCCGGUGAUGUGGACACACACACACACACACACAGACACACAAAGAGGAACUAAAGGCUUCUUUCUGCAUUAUUUAUGAAAUGGCACCAUUAUCUAUUGCCUGCGCUCCGCCUCGGUGGAGGAGCAGUGCGUGUGUGGGCCAGAGGUGUGGACACACAAGCCGUGUGUGCGUUUCUCAUUGAGCUGUGAACGGAUGAAGAAGGCAAAAAAAACAUGUUGCAUAUAAUACGUGAGAGUCAGCGCGGGGGAGCGAAGAAAAGGCCGACGGACCUCAAGACUUGCUGCUACAAAAAAGUUUCAUCAGUUUGCACGACAGAAACACAAGCGCGUGGGCGGAGAGGAACCUGAGGAACACGAUGUUUGUGUUAAGAGAGCGAGGGGCAGUGAAGAAGCCCGGACAGCCGUCAAUGGAACAACGAGCAGAUGUUUACAGAGUCCUUCUCUGUCCUGCUUGUUGAACCAUAUCCUACAAAACUAACAUCGUGCUGAAAGCUUGAAGCUAGAGAUUCCGAAUGCAUUUCAUAGGCUUUUCUGAUGGUAUUAGAGCAAAUCAAGUACACAACCAAUGAAACGUACACAUCAAGCGAAGAGCACCACUAGUCACGAGGAAUAUGUUGAAUAAGAUGCAGCAGCUGGCGGUCUGUGUGUGUAGAUCACUGAGCCCAAUAAGAGACCUCAGUGCCUUUUAAAUUGUCGUGCUCACAGAGGAAGGAGGUUGUAAAUAGUGCUGAAAGGAUGAACAACACCCCCGAUUCUCCACAAAAAAACCACACAAAGGG